RNAcentral lists this long non-coding RNA (573 nucleotides) under Sinocyclocheilus anshuiensis. Its description in RNAcentral is "lncRNA (ENSSANG00000028438.1)". The record is from RNAcentral. Lineage: Eukaryota; Metazoa; Chordata; Actinopteri; Cypriniformes; Cyprinidae.
UUUUCAUAUUUGGCGACUUUUUGUGAAGAACGGAGACUUUUGAGGGUGGUUCUAGAGAUUUUCUGAGGGAGGGGUUUGGCAACACUGCUGUGCUCGUUCUCAGAAUACAGACAGUUCUCCUGACCUGCUAAAACCAGCAGUUUUGGGGAGAAAAUCCUUCAUCUCGUUCAUUUUGGCCAAGGAUCCGCUUAAGAUCUGCAGCGACUGCUGACUGAAUGUGGAGGAAAGUUUCACUGGUUCAAUAACCAGAGAGAAUCAGACGAUCAGAUACGAGAACUACUGCAGAAGAUUGAAACAAUGAUGGAGGAGAACGGAGGGAAAUUUAAACACAUGAGGAGGAUACACAGCAUGGUCAGCAUUGUCAAUUUUUCAGCUGAAGAUCCAGAUGAGACUGAUGUGAUUCCUGAGAGCAAAGACCAGAUCAGGCCGGUUCUGCUGGGAGAAACUGGAUCUGGGCAAAGUGCCACUGGAAACAGAAAUCUGUUUGAAUCUUCAGCCGGUUCAAACUCUGAAACGAAACAGAGCCGCUCAGAAACCAAUGUCAGGAUGGGUAAAGAUAUCUGGUUUUAUUGA